Molecule: ribosomal RNA, 771 nt
Filed under: uncultured Neocallimastigales
Lineage: Eukaryota; Fungi; Neocallimastigomycota; Neocallimastigomycetes; Neocallimastigales
Description: partial large subunit ribosomal RNA
Rfam family: Eukaryotic large subunit ribosomal RNA
Source: RNAcentral
GUACACGCUGUGACUAGCAUAUCAAUAAGCGGAGGAAAAGAAACUAACAAGGAUUCCCUCAGUAACGGCGAGUGAAGCGGGAAGAGCUCAAAUUUGAAAUCUUGAAAGGUCACCUUUCACGAAUUGUAGUUUAAAGAAGUGUUUUCUGUUACGAUCGUAAUAUAAGUUCUUUGGAAUAGGACAUCACAGAGGGUGAGAAUCCCGUCUAUGAUUGCGAUUUGUAGCUUUGUGAUACACUUUCAAAGAGUCGGGUUGUUUGGGAAUGCAGCCCAAAACGGGAGGUAAAUUUCUUCUAAGGCUAAAUAUUGGCGAGAGACCGAUAGCGAACAAGUACCGUGAGGGAAAGAUGAAAAGAACUUUGAAAAGAGAGUCAAAUAGUACGUGAAAUUGUCAAAAGGGAAGCGUUUAACACCAGUGUUGUUUUCUGAAAAUCAACCUCUGUUAGCUUUAUGCAUGUUUGUUUAGGCCUAAUCAGCUAUCUUGCAUGUUCUAUUGUUUGCAGUGGUGCACUUUUCAGUUUACAGGUCAACAUCAGUUUUUUUUACCGUAAAAAAGUUAAAGAAAGGUAGCUCAUGGCUCCGGUCGUGAGUGUUAUAGUCUUUUUCCUAUGCGGUAGGAGAGACUGAGGUCUGCAGUGUAGGCUAUUUGGCUAGAUACUCAGGUGCUAUGUGAUACCAUUUCAUAAACAACUUGUUGAUUAUGUUUUGUCUACUGCAUACUCGCUUGUACUAUCAUACCUACGCUUAGGAUGUUGAACUACUGAGACAUAGA